This 2381-nucleotide ribosomal RNA is filed under the name Chromatiales bacterium 21-64-14. RNAcentral describes it as "bacterial LSU rRNA". It matches the Rfam family "Bacterial large subunit ribosomal RNA", at positions 1 to 2599 of the family's 2925-position model. The record is from RNAcentral. Lineage: Bacteria; Pseudomonadati; Pseudomonadota; Gammaproteobacteria; Chromatiales.
GUUAUAUGGUCAAGUGAAUAAGCGCACACGGUGGAUGCCUAGGCGGUAGGAGGCGAUGAAGGACGUGGUAGCCUGCGAUAAGCUUCGGGGAGCCGGCAAACAGGCUUUGAUCCGGAGAUUUCCGAAUGGGGAAACCCACCUCUUCGGAGGUAUCUGCACCUGAAUCCAUAGGGUGUAGAGGCGAACCCGGGGAACUGAAACAUCUAAGUACCCGGAGGAAAAGAAAUCAACCGAGAUUCCCUCAGUAGCGGCGAGCGAACGGGGAACAGCCCAGUCCAUUGUAUCAACGGACGUCAUAGGAGAACGGUCUGGAAAGUCCGGCCAUAGUGGGUGAUAGCCCCGUAUCCGAAAUGGCGGCUGUUGUUGAUGGCGAAGAGUAGGGCGGGACACGUGGUAUCCUGUCUGAAUAUGGGGGGACCAUCCUCCAAGGCUAAAUACUACCUACCGACCGAUAGUGAACUAGUACCGUGAGGGAAAGGCGAAAAGAACCCCGGUGAGGGGAGUGAAAUAGAACCUGAAACCGUGUGCGUACAAGCAGUGGAAGCCUGUCUACGGACGGGUGACUGCGUACCUUUUGUAUAAUGGGUCAGCGACUUACUUCUCAGUGGCAAGGUUAACCGUAUAGGGGAGCCGUAGGGAAACCGAGUCUUAAUAGGGCGAUCAGUCGCUGGGAGUAGACCCGAAACCGGGCGAUCUACCCAUGGCCAGGGUGAAAGUAGGGUAAUACCUACUGGAGGCCCGAACCCACUACCGUUGCAAAGUUAGGGGAUGAGCUGUGGGUAGGAGUGAAAGGCUAAUCAAGCUCGGAGAUAGCUGGUUCUCCCCGAAAGCUAUUGAGGUAGCGCCUCGUGUCAUCACUCCCGGGGGUAGAGCACUGUUACGGCUAGGGGGGCAUCCCGCCUUACCAAACCGUUGCAAACUCCGAAUACCGGGAAGUGUUAUCACGGGAGACACACGGCGGGGGAUAAACUUCGUCGUGGAGAGGGAAACAACCCAGAUCGCCAGCUAAGGUCCCAAAAUCAUGGCUAAGUGGUAAACGAUGUGGGAAGGCAUAGACAGCCAGGAGGUUGGCUUAGAAGCAGCCAUCCUUUAAAGAAAGCGUAAUAGCUCACUGGUCGAGUCGGCCUGCGCGGCGGAAGUGCGAAUGCUGACAUGAGUAACGAUAAUGCGGGUGAAAAACCCGCACGCCGUAAGCCCAAGGUUUCCUGCGCAACGGUAAUCGGCGCAGGGUGAGUCGGUCCCUAAGGCGAGGCCGAAAGGCGUAGUCGAUGGAAAACCGGUUAAUAUUCCGGUACCGCGUGUUACUGCGAUGAGGGGACGGAGAAGGCUAGGCCGGCCGGGUGUUGGAUGUCCCGGUUUAAGCGUGUAGGGAGUGCUUCUAGGCAAAUCCGGAGGCACAUAUCCCAAGGCGUGAUGACGAGGCCCUUUUUUAAGGGCUGAAGUGGUUGAUGCCAAGCUUCCAGGAAAAGCCUCUAAGCUUCAGGUAACACGCGACCGUACCCCAAACCGACACAGGUGGGCGAGGAGAGAAUCCUAAGGCGCUUGAGAGAACUCGGGUGAAGGAACUAGGCAAAAUAGCACCGUAACUUCGGGAGAAGGUGCGCCCCCAUUACGUGAAGGGACUUGCUCCUGGAGCGGAAGGGGGUUGCAGUGACCAGGUGGCUGCGACUGUUUACUAAAAACACAGCACUCUGCAAACUCGGAAGAGGAAGUAUAGGGUGUGACGCCUGCCCGGUGCCGGAAGGUUAAUUGAUGGGGUCAGCCCUCGGGCGAAGCUCUUGAUCGAAGCCCCGGUAAACGGCGGCCGUAACUAUAACGGUCCUAAGGUAGCGAAAUUCCUUGUCGGGUAAGUUCCGACCUGCACGAAAGACCCCGUGAACCUUUACUAUAGCUUUACACUGAACUUUGAGCCUGUUUGUGUAGGAUAGGUGGGAGGCUUUGAAGCCGGGACGCCAGUUUCGGUGGAGCCAACCUUGAAAUACCACCCUGGCAUGCUCGAGGUUCUAACCUAGGCCCGUCAUCCGGGUCGGGGACAGUGUAUGGUGGGUAGUUUGACUGGGGCGGUCUCCUCCCAAAGAGUAACGGAGGAGCACAAAGGUACCCUCGGUGCGGUCGGAAAUCGCACUUUGAGUGCAAAGGCAUAAGGGUGCUUGACUGCGAGACAGACAAGUCGAGCAGGGGCGAAAGCCGGUCUUAGUGAUCCGGUGGUUCUGUAUGGAAGGGCCAUCGCUCAACGGAUAAAAGGUACUCCGGGGAUAACAGGCUGAUUCCUCCCAAGAGUCCAUAUCGACGGGGGAGUUUGGCACCUCGAUGUCGGCUCAUCACAUCCUGGGGCUGUAGCCGGUCCCAAGGGUAUGGCUGUUCGCCAUUUAAAGUGGUAC